UACGGAGGGUCCGAGCGUUAUCCGGAUUCAUUGGGUUUAAAGGGUGCGUAGGCGGCUAGAUAAGUCAGUAGUGAAAGUCGGUAGCUCAACUAUCGAAGUGCUAUUGAAACUGUUUAGCUAGAAUUCUGAUGGAGUAGGCGGAAUGUGUUGUGUAGCGGUGAAAUGCAUAGAUAUAACACAGAACACCGAUCGCGAAGGCAGCUUACUAAGGAGCGAUUGACGCUGAUGCACGAAAGCGUAGGGAGCGAACAGG
RNAcentral lists this ribosomal RNA (253 nucleotides) under uncultured bacterium. RNAcentral describes it as "partial 16S ribosomal RNA". It matches the Rfam family "Bacterial small subunit ribosomal RNA", at positions 524 to 776 of the family's 1533-position model. The record is from RNAcentral.